GAAUCUGAAUUUAUUUUAUUGAUUUUAAUUUUGUAAAUUUUAUUUCUUCCAUAUAGCUGGUUUACAGUGUUCUGUCAAUUUUCUACUGUACAGCAAGGGGACCCAGUUACACAUACAUGUACGUUCUUUUUUCUCACAUUAUCCUGCUCCAUCAUAAGUGACUAUGAAUUUAUUUUAUUUAUUUUUGUCUUUUUAGGUCUGCAUGUGCAGCAUGUGGAAGUUCCCAGGCUAGGGGUCCAAUGGGAGCUGCAGCUGCCGGCCUACACCACGGCCACAGCAACGCCAGAUCCAAGCCAAGUCUGCAACCUACACCAUAGCUCAGGGCGAUGCAGGAUCCUUAACCAGCCAGGGACAGGAUAAGCCCCUGCAAGGCCGGGGAUCAAACCUGCAUCCUCAUGGAUACUAGUCAGAUUCGUUUUCACUGAGCCACAAAGGGAACUCCUGAAUUUAUUUUAAAAUGUCAGCCCUUUAAUAUAAAGAACAAGUUCUUUGUGAUGCAUGUGGCUGCCAGACAGGACACCCCAGGGUGUGCUGAGAACUGCUGAUUUAAAGGAAUCCAAGGACAGGAAAUGUUUGCAAAGUGGAGAGUCCCCCUGGCAAAGCAAAUGAUGCCCCCAACUGAUUUGUCCCUGAGAGUGUCCCUGGAGUUUGCAUAGUGCAGACCUCCUGGUCACUGUCCCUCUCUCCCCACACAGCCACAGUGAUGGAGUAUUUGCAUCUGGCCCUGAGGCCCAUCUGCAGCCUCCCACCGCUGCUCACCCGGAGCGAGGUGCGCAGCGUGACCGUGACGCACACCUUCCAGAUCGCCAAGGCGCGCGCCCAGCUUGGCUACGCGCCGGACAAGUUCAGCUUCGCCGACGCGGUGGACCGAUACGUGCAGUCCACGGCCGGGCGGACCCACAGCUCUACGGCGAGGACGCUCCUGCGGCUGCUGCUUGGGCUGCUGCUACUCCUCGGCCUGCUCGCCCUGGCCCUGCACUUCCUGGCCCUGCAGCCGUCGUUUGUCUGAUCGUCGUCGCCGGCCUGUCCUUGCCCCUGCCUCAUCUUGGCGACCUGGAUCCAGCCCUACUCAGCCCCCGGGAUUUGAGCCCGCCCCCGAGUCCUGGACUGGUCCCCGCCCAGCCCUCUGCCCCGGCUCCACUUCCUGGGUAUUGUCCCCGCCUCCCGCGUUCUGACCCCGCCCCUGUCACGCCCACUGGGCUUUGACGGGCCCAUGCCCCGCCUUUGGAGCCGUGGUCACGCCCCCCGCGUCUGGGUUUCCCUCCUAACCUCCGAGCCUCGGUCUGCCCUGGCCCGUGUCUUGGUUUCCCUCUGGCCUGGUUGAGAUGCCAAGGAGAAGUUCCUAGCCUCACAGCCUCCUCUGCCUUCCAGGCCUUCUCCGCGUCCCUGCCCAGGUGUGCCCCGACCCCGGGUUCACCCCCACUCUGGCUCCGCCCUCUUUCUAGCUCUACCAAUACAUCUGAGCCCCCUCCCCCCGUCCCUUGGCUUCUGCUUUGGAAACUGGCUUAGCCCCUUCCUCUUGGUUGGGUCCUUCCGCUCGCCUACUUGAGUUUCGGCCCUAGCCACGCCCCUCCCUUAUGGCUCCACCCCCUCCGGCCACACCUCCUGGGUGAGUUCUUGCGUCCUGGCUGCCGCGGCUUCUGCAGGCUGGGCUAAC
RNAcentral lists this long non-coding RNA (1657 nucleotides) under Sus scrofa (pig). RNAcentral describes it as "lncRNA (ENSSSCG00065067796.1)". The record is from RNAcentral. Lineage: Eukaryota; Metazoa; Chordata; Mammalia; Artiodactyla; Suidae.